AGAAGGAAAGGAAAAAAUAUGCUUCGUUCUCCACUCUGAAUCCAUUUGGUCUCUCUCUGGAGCCCCCCAAUCUGUGCCAGUCUAGAAACACCAGCAUCCCCAGCGUGAGGAGCACCAGGCCAACCAGACCCAUAUGAAUGAAGUAGUACUAGGAGGAUGAGUUAAAAGGGGAAGAGAAAGAGGAAUUGAUGCAAGAGGAGGUGGAGAAAGAAGAGAAAAGAGAAGACUUUCUGGCUAUCAGCUUGAGCUGGCUUCAUCAUUAAACACCCUGAGACUGAGAGAUAGAGAAGGGAACUUACUCCUUAAAAGAAAAAAAAAAACACUUUAUUUUCCUCAAUAGAACUUGGGGCUGGAGGCCAGAGUCAACCAGCUGGGAUUCUGGUGCGCCAUGCUUUCAGAAUGUUUUUGACUGCCGGUUGUACACUAGACAUAGAGAGACGGGAAAGAAAACAACCCAAAGAUAAACUCACCGCUGGGAGGAGGGGGGAGGAGAUGAGAAGAGGGCGGGGCGACAUUUUAUCCUGAGUACGCUAGGACAGGUCGGGCUUUGGUCAAUGCUGGGGCUGGCUAACUAGCCUUGGGGUACCAAGCUGCUGAGACACUGAAGAGCGGCUUAGCUUUUCCCAGUGUUAGAAUAUUUCAGCUGCCAACCACAAACUCCAUCCUGCAAACCCAGGAGGCUGCAGAAGUUUACUCUAUCAAAUUUGGCAACUUCCAGGCAGACGAGAUCCCCAGGUCCCCGGGGCCCAGAGACAAAAAGACAACCUCCAGAGCCAGAGAGCCUCAUUCUAUACAACGUUUUACACCCAAAGUCGCCCGGCUCGCUGAAAUCAUGGGAUAUCCGGCUUAAAAUGGUCCCCAGAAAUCACCAAGUUCAGUCUCUUUACUUUUGGGAUGAAAAAACAUAAACGUGGUGUGGUCAGCUGGUUUCUGAACACUCCGCAGCUUGUCCUUACCAGGAGGGAUUCGUCAGUUCGUUCUUUCGCUCGCUGGUUCAGUCCGUCAGUCGGGCAAGCAGGCACCAAGAGCAGCGGUAACAGAGGCGCCCACAGUUCCUCAGAACUGACUCAGCGAGGGCAGAGAAAUUCAAGAAGUUUAGGAGCCAUAACCACAGGAUACCCACAUUUGCCUGCCACAUGUUGACUUCUGAAGAUGGUAUGCCUUAGAGCCAUAACGACGGCACAAAGUGUGCAUCUUAUUCCAGUGCUUACUAAAUGAAGACAUCUGCUUCGUCAUCUUCCUCUUGCUGCUGGAGCAAAAAGAAGGCUAUUGUGGUUUCUGAAAAUUUGAUAGUCAAAGGAAUGAUUGCCUUUCAAUUAGAAGCUAGUCAAAAUAAAGAUGUAUUUUUUCCCA
RNAcentral lists this long non-coding RNA (1353 nucleotides) under Phascolarctos cinereus (koala). RNAcentral's name for it is "lncRNA (ENSPCIG00000037115.1)". The record is from RNAcentral. Lineage: Eukaryota; Metazoa; Chordata; Mammalia; Diprotodontia; Phascolarctidae.